AUUUGCAGAGGACAUUUGACCCGACUGCCCAUAGCCGUUCACGUAAACACACAAUAGACGAAGACGAAACGACUCGGUCUCGUUCAAUUUUCUAACAUGAGCUAACUAAAAUUGCACGACGACGACUAAUCGUCGUUUUACUCGAACAUUUCAACUACGCAGAUCACGUAACAUCUUGAGAUAUGCAAGCAAAUACGCGCGCACGGAAAUUGGACUUGUUGCGACAAACACACCGCACUUUACGAAGACGUACACGCGAUCUUUACGACACACGAUACUCACGUACCAUUCAGUUCACUUCGGUCAAAUGGUACUUGUCCCUCUAACAUAACGCGGGGGCAAUACGAUCAUAAUCAAAGGUUCAAGAUGACUUUUUCCAAAGUCAUUCAACAAAGCACACGGAACGACGGUAGUCGUCCCGGCGGCCGAUCGUGAUACAACCGACAGGCACAAAAAUAUAUCAGUAACAGACGGCCCCAAACGGACUCGACCCUCACGUACCUCUCAACACCGUCCGUGAUAACAUUCGGUAUUUCCGUCAUUGUAUUUUCGCACGAUUCAAACUUUAAACAUACGAGAAGCACGUAGCGGUCAACUCAAGUUCAACUACCGGCGGAUCAAAAUUGAACAUGGCGAUGAGGGAUGGCGGCACCACUAGCGGUGGCGCAGUAGCGAUGGCAGCGCAUGCGCGGCCGCCUCCCGUACCAAUUGCCUGCUGCGCCAUCGCCAGUGCUGCUGCCGCCGCCGCCCACCGUCGCCGUCGCGGGCGCUAUUGUCGUCAUUGCCGCCAUUCUCAUCGCCAUGUUCAAUUUUGAUCAGCCGGUAGUCGGACGCUACGUGCUUGACGUGUUUCUUGUAUGUCUAGAAUGCGAAUUGUGCGGAAAUACAGUAGCGAGAGUGUCGAGCAUUGUCGCGAACGGUACUGAGUGGUACGCAAACGAGUGUCGUGUGUCGAAAUACGUAAUCGUGCAUACGUCUUCGGUAGCGUCUGCUUGUCGCGACGCAACAAGUGCAGUCUCGCUGCGCGCGUAUUCGCCCGAAUAUCUCGAGAGGUUGUGCGUUAUGCAGUGGAGUUGGAAAUUGUCGGGUUAAACACAGUUAGUCGUCGUCGUUUUCCAACGUGAAGGGAAGAAGGUAGUCUGUGCAGCCUGUUUAGCUAAAAAGAGCAGGCUUUCUGUCUCGAGCCAUGCCAUAUGACGUCGCGUGACGUCACUUUGGUCUCUUUGGUCGCUUUCUCUUUGCCGCGCCAUGUUUACUUUUAAUUCGUUGUCAGGACGUUCCGUGUUUAUCGCGUUGUUAAAAUUGUGCAUAGAUACGGCGUUGAAAGUACCGAAUAUAGUAUCGGAUAGUCGUCUCAAUUCGCAAGUUAGUCUGACGCGUAAUUGUCUUCGUAGAUGCUUCUCAUUCAUGCAAUUCUAACAUCGGUUGCGUCGCGGUAAGUUACGCACGCGUUUUGCGUUCGUACGUGACAUUAUUUGCGCAAUGUUCGGGAGUGUUCAAAAAUAUCGGGCGAUCAGCAUUAAUGUGCGGUUCAGCAGAACGAAAUGUCGCGACAUCGGAAUUCAGCAAGAAGACCGUAUCCGUGGAGAGGCAAUUUGGUAAUUCCUGUGGAUGGUCCAAGAGUGAGGUGGAUUAAAUAGAGACAAAGAAAACGCGCGCGAAUAAUUGAUCUGCUGUCGAUAUUCCUCGGGGCGAGAAUUGACGAGAGGAAUCCAACGUCCAUCGUCGCCGAAUUAUCGUGAAAUAAACGAACCGCAGCCGGUUCGUCGCAUCGCGCGUUUUUUUCUUUUCUAGGAGUGCCGCCGUUUAAGUAUUAGACUAAUGGACUUUUCAUAACUCCCCAUUUGAUAAAAUCCUAAUUCGAGGGCCGGAAAUCGCACCUUCGCUGCGGCUUCGGAUUCAAUGCCAUUGAUUUCGUUUUCUUCCGCGUGGGGCUUAUCCUUUUUCGGGGGCGGGUACGCGUGCGUCCUACUUGCCGACUCGGGGUGCUGAAUCCACGGGACUCCCUCCGAAUUGGAACUCUUAUCGUGAGUUUUAUAAAUUCGAAGAACCGCAGUGUCGCGCGAAAGACUUUAUAGAUAAUUAGUCCACGCGCGGAAAUUUAAUUUAUUAUUCGCGAGUGUUCCGCGAGUGUGCAAUGAGAGGAAGAGAACAACCUUGAGGACUCUGAGAGGAGGAGGAAGCCUGGGCAUCGGGCGUCAGCGGGGCAACCUUGGGGUAAAUAUAAUUUUUUAUUUACAUGAAUUUAAUAAUCUUUUUCUCUUUUAUUCCAUCUUAUUGCAAAUUAAGAAAAAAAGAUGC
Molecule: long non-coding RNA, 2301 nt
Organism: Solenopsis invicta (red fire ant)
Lineage: Eukaryota; Metazoa; Arthropoda; Insecta; Hymenoptera; Formicidae
Exons: 3
Source: RefSeq, a predicted model, not a curated record